This 254-nucleotide ribosomal RNA is filed under the name uncultured bacterium. RNAcentral's name for it is "partial 16S ribosomal RNA". It matches the Rfam family "Bacterial small subunit ribosomal RNA", at positions 524 to 776 of the family's 1533-position model. The record is from RNAcentral.
UACGUAGGGGGCAAGCGUUGUCCGGAUUCAUUGGGCGUAAAGAGCUCGUAGGCGGCUUGGCAAGUCGGGUGUGAAAACUCCAGGCUCAACCUGGAGACGCCACCCGAUACUGCCAUGGCUUGAGUCCGGUAGGGGACCACGGAAUUCCUGGUGUAGCGGUGAAAUGCGCAGAUAUCAGGAGGAACACCGGUGGCGAAGGCGGUGGUCUGGGCCGGUACUGACGCUGAUGCGCGACAGCGUGGGGAGCAAACAGG